CUGGAUGUUGUUAUUUGAGUCUGUGUAUCAAAAUGAAACUGAAGCCAGUUCAAUCCUUGGACAAUAACCUAGAGUGAUUUAUUCAGGUCUUUCUCUGAAAAACAAAUAAACAAAAAAUGAAUGCUCACCUAACAUCUGCAAAGCUAAAUAUGCUGACGAGCUCCCUCCAAGAAUGAUAGACUCUUGCAAAGGCAAAUUUCAUUCUUCAAACCAGAUGGCAGAAACUUACUUACCACUCUAAAAAUGGUAGCUCUUUUGAGCUUAAGAAAAUCUUAAAACAGAGCCUCCAGGAGGGAUUAUAUAAGGAGAGUUUUCAUAGGGUAUUUGACUAUAUUUUCUCAAAGAAUCUUCCUAACAAACAUUUUUGACAGGUUAUUACAGCUCCCAGAUUACAAAUGAAAACAUGGAGACCCUGUGAAAUUUAGAGCUAUGGACUAGAGACAAAAGCUCCAGACAGUAAUGGCCCGGGGCCUUUCCCCAGUGUAGACCGUGAUUUGGCUGCAUUAGUUAGACUGACUCUGGCUCUCCCUGUUGUUAUGAAUAGUUGUUACGAAAACAUAGACUCCAGAAGCUCUUAUGUCUGGCUCAGUCUGAGAACUUCACAUGGUAAAAAGAGGCUCUGCUGAGACAGCUCUUUUAACCUGAAGAAACCCCAAAUAGGCCGAUUUUGAAGACCCCAGGAACACGCUGACUCUGAGUUCUUGAGCUCAGGUAGGAGGGUAAAUCCAAUCCCUGUUACUCCAUCUUGGGAAGAAGUAGAAGUUCUGGAAGGGGCUUUUAACUGGAUGAAUAAUACAAGCAUUUUGGAGUUGUCCAAACUAUAUUGUAUCCAAGCUACCUUGAGGUUUUAUUUUAUAUCACCUGCCAUGAAAAGUAGAUAGACUUUGUCGUCGGAAAGAUCGAGAUUUGCAUCUUGAAUCUAGCAUCCAGUAGGUAUGUGAUCUUGGACAGCAACUGUAAUUUCCCUCAACUUCCAUUUUAUCUUUGAUAGAAGGAGAUGGAAAAAAUUGACUUUAAACCCAGAAAUCCAGGGGAUUCUACGAAGUACUGUUUUUUUUUUUUACACCAAAAUAUAAGCAGUAGGUAGGGGGAUGCUAAAAUAAGUGAGAGUGAAUCUAUAGUUUAUGGUUCCAUGAAACACCCCAAAAUAAUGGGGUAUAUCUAUGUGUAUUUUUUAGAAAAACUGUUAAUAAUGUACUGUUAGGUAAGUAAAGCAUUUUGCAGAAAAAUGUAUAUAGUAUGUGAAGUGUUUUUUAA
This 1257-nucleotide long non-coding RNA is filed under the name Felis catus (domestic cat). RNAcentral describes it as "lncRNA (ENSFCAG00000049617.1)". Lineage: Eukaryota; Metazoa; Chordata; Mammalia; Carnivora; Felidae. The record is from RNAcentral.